RNAcentral lists this ribosomal RNA (301 nucleotides) under uncultured bacterium. RNAcentral's name for it is "partial 16S ribosomal RNA". It matches the Rfam family "Bacterial small subunit ribosomal RNA", at positions 509 to 807 of the family's 1533-position model. The record is from RNAcentral.
CAGCCGCCACGGGAAUACGAAGGGGGCUAGCGUUGCUCGGAAUGACUGGGCGUAAAGGGCGCGUAGGUGGUUAUGUAAGUGAGAUGUGAAAUCCCCGGGCUCAACCUGGGAACUGCAUCUUAUACUGCGUAGCUGGAGUGCAGUAGAGGGUAGUGGAAUUUCCGGUGUAGCGGUGAAAUGCGUAGAUAUCGGAAGGAACACCAGUGGCGAAGGCGGCUACCUGGACUGACACUGACACUGAGGCGCGAAAGCGUGGGGAGCAAACAGGAUUAGAUACCCCUGUAGUCCCUGUCUCUUAUAC